CGUCACGAACAUCCUCUGUGCAUGAUGACGUUUUCGAAUCCGUAGCUCUGUGUAGCAGAGACCGGGUGUGAGAUUGAAAAGUUCUCCUGUGCCGGUAUCUCUACAGAAAGGUACGGCUAAUCUACGUGCCAGCAGCCGCGUUAAUACGGUAGGUCUCGAUCGUGUCCGAAUUAUUGCGACGUAAUGCGAGCGCAGCCGUGAGAUCAGUCUGAAGCUAAUGGCUGAGGCUGAUCCAUAGUACGCUCUGGAAAUCUGUUUACUUGAGUGCAAGAGGGAGAGUGGAAUUCCAUGCGUAGCGGUGAAAUGCGUAGAUAUAUGGAGGAACACCGGUGGCGAAAGCGGCUCUCUGGCUUGUAACUGACGAUGAGGCUAGAAAGCGUGGAGGAGCAAACAGGAUUAGAUACCCUGGUAGUUCACGCCGUAAACGAUGAGUGGUAGGUGUUAGACCCUUUCCGGGGUUUAGUGCCGCAGCUAACGCAUUAAGCACUCCGCCUGGGGAGUACGACCGCAAGGUUGACACUCAAAGGAAUUGACGGGGGCCCGCACAAGCGGUGGAGCAUGUGGUUUAAUUCGAAGCAACGCGAAGAACCUUAACAGGUCUUGACAUCCCUCUGACCUCUCUAGAGAUAGAGAUUUCCUUCGGGACAGAGGUGACAGGUGGUGCAUGGUUGUCGUCAGCUCGUGUCGUGAGAUGUUGGGUUAAGUCCCGCAACGAGCGCAACCCCUAUUGUUAGUUGCCAUCAUUCAGUUGGGCACUCUAGCGAGACCGCCGGUAAUAAACCGGAGGAAGGUGGGGAUGAUGUCAAAUCAUCAUGCCCCUUAUGACCUGGGUUACACACGUGGUACAAUGGAGGGUACAACGAGUCGCAAGCCGGUGACGGCAAGCUAAUCUCUUAAAGCCAGUUUCAGUUCGGAUUGUAGGCUGCAACUCGCAAACAUGAAGUCGGAAUCGCUAGUAAUUGAGGAUCAGCACGCCGCGGUGAAUACGUUCCCGGGCCUUGUACACACCGCCCGUCACACCACGAGAGUUUGUAACACCGGAAGUCGGUGAGGUAACCGUAAGGAGCCAACCGCCUAAGGUGGGAUAGAUGAUUGGGGUGAAGUCGAACAAGGUAACC
RNAcentral lists this ribosomal RNA (1118 nucleotides) under uncultured bacterium. RNAcentral's name for it is "bacterial SSU rRNA". It matches the Rfam family "Bacterial small subunit ribosomal RNA", at positions 384 to 1501 of the family's 1533-position model. The record is from RNAcentral.